Suricata suricatta (meerkat) is the source of this 326-nucleotide long non-coding RNA. RefSeq lists it as uncharacterized. NCBI's taxonomy places the organism in Eukaryota, Metazoa, Chordata, Mammalia, Carnivora, Herpestidae. The transcript is spliced from 3 exons. The record is from RefSeq and is a predicted model, not a curated record.
AGUCUCAGUUGACCCCAGACCACCUUGUUCUUUUCUUCUUUUUCCCUUCCCCAAAUUGCCACCCUUUUGGAGUUGGUGUUCAUUCAUCCUUCUUGGGACUGUAAAUAUCUUUCCAAUCUGGCUAAAACUAAGGAUCAAUAAAGAGUCUUUUGGAAACAUUUAAAGAGCAUAGCUUCCCAAAUCAAAUAAGAGUCUAAUCUGAUAAAACACAGCUGAAAUGGAAACACUGCUUCCCACGCCUGUACAACCCACAAGCACAAGAAUUAACAACGAUAUGGGGCACCUGGGUGGCUCAUGCAUUCGGUUAAGUGUCCAACUUCGGCUCA